Molecule: ribosomal RNA, 330 nt
Filed under: Sulfitobacter sp. HI0027
Lineage: Bacteria; Pseudomonadati; Pseudomonadota; Alphaproteobacteria; Rhodobacterales; Roseobacteraceae
Description: bacterial SSU rRNA
Rfam family: Bacterial small subunit ribosomal RNA
Source: RNAcentral
AGUCCUCAUGGCCCUUACGGGUUGGGCUACACACGUGCUACAAUGGCAGUGACAAUGGGUUAAUCCCCAAAAGCUGUCUCAGUUCGGAUUGGGGUCUGCAACUCGACCCCAUGAAGUCGGAAUCGCUAGUAAUCGUGGAACAGCAUGCCACGGUGAAUACGUUCCCGGGCCUUGUACACACCGCCCGUCACACCAUGGGAGUUGGUUCUACCCGACGGCCGUGCGCCAACCUUUCGAGGAGGCAGCGGACCACGGUAGGAUCAGCGACUGGGGUGAAGUCGUAACAAGGUAGCCGUAGGGGAACCUGCGGCUGGAUCACCUCCUUUCUAA